RNAcentral lists this ribosomal RNA (253 nucleotides) under uncultured bacterium. Its description in RNAcentral is "partial 16S ribosomal RNA". It matches the Rfam family "Bacterial small subunit ribosomal RNA", at positions 524 to 776 of the family's 1533-position model. The record is from RNAcentral.
UACGGAAGGGGCAAGCGUUGUUCGGAAUCAUUGGGCGUAAAGGGCGCGUAGGUGGUUCUGUAUGUCUACCGUGAAAGCGUACGGCUCAACCGUAUUUUGUCGGUAGAAACUGCAGGACUUGAGGCUGGGAGGGGCUGGUGGAAUUCCCUGUGUAGCGGUGAAAUGCGCAGAUAUCAGGAGGAACACCGGUGGCGAAGGCGGAUCUCUGGGCCAUUACUGACGCUGAGGAGCGAAAGCGUGGGGAGCGAACAGG